Molecule: non-coding RNA, 84 nt
Organism: Gymnopus androsaceus JB14
Lineage: Eukaryota; Fungi; Basidiomycota; Agaricomycetes; Agaricales; Omphalotaceae
Source: the annotation of a GenBank genome assembly
GGUUCGAUGGCGUAGCUUGGUUAUCGCAUCUGUCUAACAUUCAGCUUACACAGAAGGUCCCCGGUUCGAGCCCGGGUCGAAUCA